ACUCCUACGGGAGGCAGCAGUGGGGAAUAUUGCGCAAUGGGCGAAAGCCUGACGCAGCAACGCCGCGUGUGGGAUGACAGCUUUCGGGUUGUAAACCACUUUCAGUGACGACGAAAAUGACGGUAGUCACAGAAGAAGGUCCGGCCAACUACGUGCCAGCAGCCGCGGUAACACGUAGGGACCAAGCGUUGUCCGGAUUUAUUGGGGCGUAAAGAGCUCGUAGGCGGUUCCGUAAGUCGGAUGUGAAAACUCAGGGGCUCAACCCUGAGACGCCAUCUGAUACUGCGGUGACUAGAGUCCGGUAGGGGAGCAUGGAAUUCCUGGUGUAGCGGUGGAAUGCGCAGAUAUCAGGAGGAACACCAAUGGCGAAGGCAGUGCUCUGGGCCGGUACUGACGCUGAGGAGCGAAAGCAUGGGGAGCAAACAGGAUUAGAUACCCUGGUAGGAUAGCG
RNAcentral lists this ribosomal RNA (451 nucleotides) under uncultured bacterium. RNAcentral's name for it is "bacterial SSU rRNA". It matches the Rfam family "Bacterial small subunit ribosomal RNA", at positions 335 to 801 of the family's 1533-position model. The record is from RNAcentral.